AAAGGAAGAAGCCUUUGGGUUUGUAAAUUUCUUUUUUGGAGGGAAGAGAAAGGCCGGUCCUUCAGGAAUAAGUUUCGGCUAAUUACGUCCCAGCAGCCGCGGUAAAACGUAGGAAGCGAGCGUUAUCCGGAUUUACUGGGCGUAAAGGGCAGGCAGGCGGUUUGUUAAGUCUUACUUGAAAGCUCUCGGCUCAACUGGGAGAGGCGGUGGGAAACUGGCAAACUAGAGGAUGGUAGAGGAGAGUGGAAUUCCCGGUGUAGUGGUGAAAUGCGUAGAUAUCGGGAGGAACACCAGUGGCGAAAGCGGCUCUCUGGGCCAUUACUGACGCUCAACUGCGAAAGCCAGGGGAGAGAACGGGAUUAGAAACCCCGGGUAUUCCUGGCCGUAAACGAUGUUAACUAGGCGUCGGCGGUGUCAAAGCUGCCGGUGCUGCAGCCAACGCGAUAAGUUAACCGCCUGGGGACUACGGCCGCAAGGCUAAAACUCAAAGGAAUUGACGGGGGCCCGCGCAAGCAGCGGAGCGUGUGGUUUAAUUCGAGGCUACGCGAAGAACCUUACCAGGGAUUGACAUGCAGAUGGUAGUGAAGCGAAAGCGGAGCGACCCUUCGGGGAGUCUGCACAGGUGCUGCAUGGCUGUCGUCAGCUCGUGCCGUGAGGUGUUAGGUUAAGUCCUGUAACGAGCGCAACCCUCGUCGUUAGUUACAAGUGUCUAACGAGACCGCCGGUGAUAAGCCGGAGGAAGGUGGGGAUGACGUCAAGUCAGCAUGGCCUUUAUAUCUUGGGCUACACACACGCUACAAUGGCCGGUACAAUGGGCCGCGAAACCGCGAGGUGGAGCCAAUCCCGCAAAGCCGGUCUCAGUUCGGAUGACAGGCUGCAACUCGCCUGUCUGAAGUCGGAGUUGCUAGUAACCGCGCGUCAGCAUAGUGCGGUGAAUACGUUCCCGGGCCUUGUACACACCGCCCGUCACGUCAUGGAAGUUGGCAACGCCUGAAGCCGGUGGGCUAACCUCGGUGUAACCGGGGGAGCAGCCGUCCAAGGUGGGGUCGGUAACUGGGACGAAGUCGUAACAAGGUAGCUGUAGCGGAAGCUGCGGCUGGAUCACCUCCU
RNAcentral lists this ribosomal RNA (1110 nucleotides) under uncultured bacterium. RNAcentral describes it as "bacterial SSU rRNA". It matches the Rfam family "Bacterial small subunit ribosomal RNA", at positions 404 to 1531 of the family's 1533-position model. The record is from RNAcentral.